CACUGAGUUUCAAAGGGCUUUAUAUGCUUGUACUUUUUCAAAAUUUUACUUGACAAAUGAUGACUAUCAUUAUUCAAAGGAUAAAAUGGAAUUAUUUGACUAUGGUUAAUAUGAAUAUAACACAUCCCCGAUGACCUGAAAUUGUAUUGCUUGGAUGCAGCUUUAAAAUGCUCUCCUGAAAAGGAAAUAGAAAAGGAAAACAAACAAGGAAUAUUAGUCACAUAUUUGUCUCCAUUGUUUUAUGUUGGUAUUUUUGCUGUUCUUCACACUCAAGUUUGAAUACCUUCCUGCACAUGCUCUUCAAAGACAAAAAGUUAUACAUAAAGCUCAUAUCAGCAGAAGCUGUUCUUGUAAUGAUGACAGACAAACCAAGUUUGAAAUCUACACUGCCAACACAAAGAAAGAACAUAUUCUGCUGAAUUCCAUAACCAGCUUUUGACGCUGGGAAGAAUGCUCAGGAAGUGAAACACAUAUCAUGCAAGUGUGAGGACUUGAGUUUAAAUUCCCAGAACACAUAUAAAGCUGGUUCAGAAGAGCAGGUCUAAAAUCCCAUCGUUCUUAUCAUGAGAUACGCAGCAAAGACAAGAGAAGCCCCAGAGUCUUAGAGGUAAAGCAUCCUUGCCUAUGCAGCAAUGGACAGUGAAGAGAGCGAGCCUGUCUUAUACAAGAUAGAAGGUAAGAACCAACACCCUCUGGGCUCCACAUUCCACUGAGAUGGAGGAUGCACGCGUGUGUGUGUGUGGACAGCAAUGGAUGCAGCAUUGCUAUGCAACAAUGGACAGUGAAGAGAGCGAGCCUGUCUUAUACAAGAUAGAAGGGAUGUACCCAGGAAGAAGCCAAUACUCUCAGAUUCCUUGAUGGGCAGGGAUAACAGGUGGAUCUCCUCCGGGGAUUGAUCUUCAGUCC
RNAcentral lists this long non-coding RNA (906 nucleotides) under Cricetulus griseus (Chinese hamster). RNAcentral's name for it is "lncRNA (ENSCGRG00015040579.1)". Lineage: Eukaryota; Metazoa; Chordata; Mammalia; Rodentia; Cricetidae. The record is from RNAcentral.